UAUCGAAGAUGUUCGAGAUGGAUUUUCCAUAUUCUUGGCAAGAAAUGUCGAAGGCCAUUUCCAUCUUGCAUGUACAAAUGCAUACGAGGGAAGUAUUGGUCAUCUGAUGCACUUUACACUCAUUUCAAAUAUGCCAAGUAAAUUGAAAUUGGAUUUGAGGUAGGACAGUCGCUUAUUGGUUUGGCCACAGCUUUUUCUCCUUUGUGAGCUUUAGGGUAUGCAACUGACCAUCUUUUAUCACCUUUUUGUGUUGUUGCUUGGGGUCUAUUAGCAUUUUCAUAAUAAUGUAAAUUUGCACAAAAUAACCUGAAAAAUUCACAAUGGGUAACUGUAUAGGCUGGAAUAACACAUUACUCUUUAUUGGUCAAAUCAACCCUUUUUUAAAGUAAAAUAUGUGAGAAAAAAUGCAUGUUUUCACCUGGCCAUGAUUGAGUGAUAUGGAUAGUAUGUAUUUUUUGAUGCAAAAAGAUUAUCAAGUGAAUGUUUUGCCUCCAAGCCUGAUGUUUGUUGGUGACUUGACAACUUUCUAACUGCACUUAUCAAUCUUGGUCUUGAAAUAAGUUCAGUUAGUUUCUUAUGAGCUGCACUACCUUAAAAAGUAUAAAGAGGUCAGUCUUAUGAAUAGAUUGAUAGGAAGCAAGAUUAUAAUAUACAUGCAAAUGCUUCGAGACCUGUUAAAGAACAGGUGCCCCGUGCA
Long non-coding RNA from Xenia sp. Carnegie-2017, 697 nucleotides. RefSeq lists it as uncharacterized. The transcript has 2 exons. Lineage: Eukaryota; Metazoa; Cnidaria; Anthozoa; Malacalcyonacea; Xeniidae. The record is from RefSeq and is a predicted model, not a curated record.